RNAcentral lists this ribosomal RNA (253 nucleotides) under uncultured bacterium. RNAcentral describes it as "partial 16S ribosomal RNA". It matches the Rfam family "Bacterial small subunit ribosomal RNA", at positions 524 to 776 of the family's 1533-position model. The record is from RNAcentral.
UACGUAGGUGGCAAGCGUUAUCCGGAAUUAUUGGGCGUAAAGAGCGCGCAGGUGGUUAAUUAAGUCUGAUGUGAAAGCCCACGGCUUAACCGUGGAGGGUCAUUGGAAACUGGUUGAUUUGAGUGCAGAAGAGGGAAGUGGAAUUCCAUGUGUAGCGGUGAAAUGCGUAGAGAUAUGGAGGAACACCAGUGGCGAAGGCGGCUUCCUGGUCUGCAACUGACACUGAGGCGCGAAAGCGUGGGGAGCAAACAGG